This 316-nucleotide long non-coding RNA is filed under the name Meriones unguiculatus (Mongolian gerbil). RNAcentral describes it as "lncRNA (ENSMUGG00000007808.1)". Lineage: Eukaryota; Metazoa; Chordata; Mammalia; Rodentia; Muridae. The record is from RNAcentral.
UGUAAACUAGGUUUUCUCCUUCCUCAGGUUAAGAAGCCGAUUCACUCCACAGUCCUCAGCUUGGGCUGGCACCCCCACAACAUUUUGCUGGCUGCAGGGUCAUGUGACUUUAAAUGCAGUGUUUUCUCGGCCUACAUCAAGGAGGUGGACGAGAAGCCGGCCAGCUGAUGGCAGAGUUUGGCAGCAGCAGCAGCAGCGCCAGUGGCUGGGUGUGGGGCGUCAGCUUCUCGGCUAGCAGGAACUGCCUGGCCUGGGUCAGCCACAGACACCUCCAGAGCAUGCAGCAGCGCCUGUAGCCAGCAGGCCCCCGUCUCUG